AGAGUUUGAUCCUGGCUCAGAACGAACGCUGGCGGCGUGGAUCAGACAUGCAAGUCGAACGAGGUUAAUUUGGUAGCAAUACUGGGUUAGCUUAGUGGCGAACGGGUGCGUAACACGUGACCAACCUGCCUAGAAGUGGGGGAUAGCUCGGCGAAAGCCGGAUUAAUACCGCAUGUGAUCGCAAGAUUAAAGCAGCAAUGCGCUUUUAGAGGGGGUCGCGGCCUAUCAGCUAGUUGGUGAGGUAACGGCUUACCAAGGCAGCGACGGGUAGCUGGUCUGAGAGGACGACCAGCCACACUGGAACUGAGACACGGUCCAGACACCUACGGGUGGCAGCAGUCGAGAAUUUUUCUCAAUGGGGGAAACCCUGAAGGAGCGACGCCGCGUGGAGGAUGAAGGCUUUCGGGUUGUAAACUCCUGUCAUCUGGGAACAAAACUCGCAAGAGCUUGAUAGUACCAGAAGAGGAAGAGACGGCUAACUCUGUGCCAGCAGCCGCGGUAAUACAGAGGUCUCAAGCGUUGUUCGGAUUCAUUGGGCGUAAAGGGCGCGUAGGCGGUGGGGUAAGUCUGGUGUGAAAUCUCGGAGCUCAACUUCGAAAUUGCACUGGAUACUGCUCUGCUAGAGGGCUGGAGAGGAGAUCGGAAUUCACGGUGUAGCAGUGAAAUGCGUAGAUAUCGUGAGGAAGACCAGUGGCGAAGGCGGAUCUCUGGACAGCUCCUGACGCUGAGGCGCGAAGGCUAGGGGAGCAAACGGGAUUAGAUACCCCAGUAGUCC
RNAcentral lists this ribosomal RNA (775 nucleotides) under uncultured bacterium. Its description in RNAcentral is "bacterial SSU rRNA". It matches the Rfam family "Bacterial small subunit ribosomal RNA", at positions 8 to 796 of the family's 1533-position model. The record is from RNAcentral.